RNAcentral lists this transfer-messenger RNA (466 nucleotides) under bovine gut metagenome. Its description in RNAcentral is "Alphaproteobacteria transfer-messenger RNA". It matches the Rfam family "Alphaproteobacteria transfer-messenger RNA". Rfam says of the family: Bacterial tmRNA, also known as 10Sa RNA or SsrA, is named for its dual tRNA and mRNA-like properties. Its role is to liberate the mRNA from a stalled ribosome. The record is from RNAcentral.
UUGCAUUUCAGCGUUCUGCAUGUUAUAUUUAAGAUGUCGAUUUUCGACUGUGACACCAGAAGCGGUAUGAAAUAGAUACGUUGGACCCGGGGGCGGUACCCGGCACCUCCACCAAUUUUUUAGAAAAACAAAGAUGUUUUUCGGUUAUAUAAAAAAGAGUUUAUAAGUGUUUUGCUGCGCAGAUAUUUUUGAGCGAAGUUUACGCCCAAAAGUAAAUGAGCAAAAAAAUAUCAAGCAUGAAAAUGUUUAUAUAGUUUUUACUGGGGGUGAAAAGGUUAGACAGUGUAUAAUAAAGAUAUUUGCUGUGUUCGGUGAGAUACCACCGUUAUCGGUUCAAAAUAAAUAAACGCAAAUGAUAAUUUUGCACCAGUUGCAGUCGCAGCUUAAGCUUGCUAAAGCAACAAAUUCAAUUCUUUAGGUCUUGGUUGACUUAAAGUGAGGUUUGGGCCACCCAGCAACAGGACGG